GAAUUCCGUACAUCUCAUCAUCUCCUCUUCAAUUUCGGAUAGGAGGAGAGCUCCACUUAAGGAAGGGUUUUGCAAAGUCCUUGCUCUUCUCUCUCUUAUCCGAUUUCUGUUUUGUUUUGACUCUUGGUAUCUCUGGGUCUGGAUAUUUCGUGGUGGGACAGCGAAAUUGGCGGGAACUAACGACCGAGUUGUUUGGGUCUGAAUCGAAUUUUGGUGUUCGUUAAUGGCCAAUCCUUCUGGGAACCAUCAAGAACCGAGCCAUGCCUCGUCGUCUUUCAACCCGACUAACGGAAACUCCACUCCGGUGUCAGCCCCCCCUGAGAGUUCGGGUGCCAUGAAGCACAACCCGGGUAUUUCUAUGGAUUGGACCGCAGAGGAGCAGGUCAUUCUUGAUGACGGGCUCGCCAAUUAUGCAACAGAAGCUAACAUAAUCCGGUAUGCAAAGAUAGCUAUGCAGCUACAGAAUAAAACCGUUCGAGAUGUGGCACUGCGUUGCAGAUGGAUGACUAAGAAGGAGAACAGCAAGAGAAGGAAGGAAGAACUUAACUUAGCAAGGAAAAGCAAAGAUAAGAAGGUCUGAUUUGGUAUUAAACAGGAAAGAGUAGUCGAUACUUCAGCAAAGCCAUCACACUUUACAACCCGACCCAAUGUAGCUCCCUAUGUUCCUCCAAUCAUAUCUAUGGACAACGAUGACGGCAUCUCAUACAAAGCUAUUGGUGGGGUUACAGGUGAGCUUCUGGAGCAGAAUGCACAAGCCUUGAAUCAAAUUUCUGCCAAUCUUCAAGCUUUCCAGAUACAGGAGAACAUCAACCUCUUCUGUCAGGCUCGAGAUAACAUCCUCAAAAUUAUGAAUGAUUUGAAUGACAUGCCAGACGUAAUGAAGCAGAUGCCACCACUUCCAGUGAAAGUGAAUGAAGAGCUUGUAAACCAUGUCCUUCCCCCACCUGCACAUCCAAUGCAAUGAUAGUUUGGCAUGAAAUAUGGAGUUGAUGGACCACCUUAGCCAACUCUUAUAGUGCAGGCGAUCUAAUUGUUUAUGAAGGUCU
RNA transcript from Fragaria vesca subsp. vesca, 1046 nucleotides. RefSeq lists it as uncharacterized. The transcript is spliced from 8 exons. The record is from RefSeq and is a predicted model, not a curated record. Lineage: Eukaryota; Viridiplantae; Streptophyta; Magnoliopsida; Rosales; Rosaceae.